This 497-nucleotide ribosomal RNA is filed under the name uncultured bacterium. RNAcentral's name for it is "partial 16S ribosomal RNA". It matches the Rfam family "Bacterial small subunit ribosomal RNA", at positions 28 to 507 of the family's 1533-position model. The record is from RNAcentral.
GAUGAACGCUGGCGGCGUGCCUAAUACAUGCAAGUCGAGCGAACGGACGAGAAGCUUGCUUCUCUGAUGUUAGCGGCGGACGGGUGAGUAACACGUGGAUAACCUACCUAUAAGACUGGGAUAACUUCGGGAAACCGGAGCUAAUACCGGAUGAUAUUUUGAACCGCAUGGUUCAAUAGUGAAAGACGGUUUUGCUGUCACUUAUAGAUGGAUCCGCGCUGCAUUAGCUAGUUGGUAAGGUAACGGCUUACCAAGGCAACGAUGCGUAGCCGACCUGAGAGGGUGAUCGGCCACACUGGAACUGAGACACGGUCCAGACUCCUACGGGAGGCAGCAGUAGGGAAUCUUCCGCAAUGGGCGAAAGCCUGACGGAGCAACGCCGCGUGAGUGAUGAAGGUCUUCGGAUCGUAAAACUCUGUUAUUAGGGAAGAACAUAUGUGUAAGUAACUAUGCACAUCUUGACGGUACCUAAUCAGAAAGCCACGGCUAACUACGUG